AAUGAAGAAUGCUAUGAUAUCAGCGAUUAAAUUACGACAGAAACCGCGGGGGGCAGUUGACAUUGUUGACCCAUCACAACAUUCCUUAAACACUUAAGUUCUUAGCGUUACUGUGUUGAUGAAACCUACGUAUAUAUUAAGGGUGCGAAGAUACAGUGAGUGCAGAACAGACUAUGUCAACCGUCAAGACUGCCGACUUAACAGAGCUUAAAUCAUUGGCCGCCCCCCCUCAAGAUGUGAAAUCCAUUUUACAUGCUGUAGUUUUAUUGCUGGGUUACCCUGAGAAGCUAGCAUCAAAUUGGAAGUUUGUCAGAAAAGUAAUGGUCCACAAAGGUGAACAGGGUAUGGUGCAUGGUAUGGAACAUUUUGACGCCAAAAAGGUCUCCAAAGCAUCUGCCAUCAGCGCAAGGGCUCUACUUGAUUCCUUAAAUGUUGAAAGGGUUAAACAAGUUAGCAGAGCUUCUGUUUCCUUCCUCUUAUGGGCUAAGAGUCACCUUGAAGAAGUAGAGGCAGCAGUUAUAUAACAGGGGUGGAUCCAGGAUUAUUUGAAGGGGGGUGCAGUCCUUUUUUAUUUUGACAAGAAAUAAUUUAAACAGCAAUCAAUAUGUUCUACAAGAAAUAUACCUGAUAAUAACAAUAAUCUGUCAUAUAUGUAUAGCAAUAAGUGCAAAAAUAAUUCCUGGGACAUGCAUCAGACAGUAAGAUACAUUACUGAUUAUCUCAAUAUUUUAUAGUGCAUUCAUCAAUACAUCAUGUAUUAUAUAUUGUUAGAUCAUAGCCAUUGUACCAAAUGUGCUAGUAUCAAUAAUAAUAAUAAUAAUAAUAAUAAUAAUAAUAAUAAGGUUAACAUGAGAAAUCUUGAUAUAACACUUAACAGAUUCAAUAUUAAUACAAAAAGUUGUGAAAUGAGAUUCUGGAUGAUUGCAAUUCCUAAUAAAUACUUGAAUGAAACUGAUGAAAUAUUUGUGGUAAAAAAGAAAACAAGCAGCCAAUAAAAUGUGUUCGUAUGGAUAGCUUUGAUGACAGCACCAGCUAGUCAUGUGAGAUAUUCCCGUUUUUUAUUGGGCAAAUAAGUAACAAAAGUAGGGUCAGCAUUGUGAGUCAUUACUUAAUGUGUUUAGAGUGAGUUAAGAGACACUUUACUGCCAUAUUAUAAUGAUUAAUAGUAGUUUGGUAGUUUCAUUUCCUGUCAAUUUUCUUGAGGGUUUCCGUCAGAUCGUAACUUUGCGUUUUUUACUUUUGCUGCAUAAUAGGUACGUUUUCUUUUAUGAUAUUUAAUAAAAAAUAUUUUCGCAAGGCUUUUUAUUCAAUGU
Molecule: long non-coding RNA, 1313 nt
Organism: Lingula anatina
Lineage: Eukaryota; Metazoa; Brachiopoda; Lingulata; Lingulida; Lingulidae
Source: RefSeq, a predicted model, not a curated record